GCCCUCUUGGGAUUGCACCUGGAGAGUUUCCAGUACUCAGCCAGUCUCAGCUAUGGGAAGAAGAGUCAAGCAGAGGCAUACUCAUUCCAUUCCUAGCUUGGGCAGUGGCUAGUCAGUGAAAGGCAAUCUGUUAUAUGU
Molecule: small nucleolar RNA, 138 nt
Organism: Tachyglossus aculeatus (Australian echidna)
Lineage: Eukaryota; Metazoa; Chordata; Mammalia; Monotremata; Tachyglossidae
Source: RefSeq, a predicted model, not a curated record